RNAcentral lists this ribosomal RNA (423 nucleotides) under uncultured bacterium. RNAcentral's name for it is "bacterial SSU rRNA". It matches the Rfam family "Bacterial small subunit ribosomal RNA", at positions 29 to 450 of the family's 1533-position model. The record is from RNAcentral.
AUUGAACGCUGGCGGCAUGCCUAACACAUGCAAGUCGAACGGCAGCACGGCAGUAGCAAUACUGUGGGUGGCGAGUGGCGGACGGGUGAGGAAUACGUCGGAAUCUGCCCAGUCGUGGGGGAUAACUAGCCGAAAGGUUAGCUAAUACCGCAUACGACCGAGAGGUGAAAGCGGGGGACCGCAAGGCCUCGCGCGAUUGGAUGAGCCGACGUCGGAUUAGCUAGUUGGUGGGGUAAAGGCCCACCAAGGCGACGAUCCGUAGCUGGUCUGAGAGGAUGAUCAGCCACACUGGAACUGAGACACGGUCCAGACUCCUACGGGAGGCAGCAGUAGGGAAUAUUGGACAAUGGGGGCAACCCUGAUCCAGCCAUGCCGCGUGUGUGAAGAAGGCCUGGUUGUAAGGUACACUUAAGUACGAGGAGG